RNAcentral lists this ribosomal RNA (426 nucleotides) under uncultured bacterium. RNAcentral's name for it is "bacterial SSU rRNA". It matches the Rfam family "Bacterial small subunit ribosomal RNA", at positions 406 to 845 of the family's 1533-position model. The record is from RNAcentral.
GGAUGACGGCCUAUGGNUUGUAAACCUCUUUUUUCAAGGAGGAAUAAAUGACGUGUACUUGAAGAAUAAGCAUCGGCUAACUCCGUGCCAGCAGCCGCGGUAAGACGGUGGAUGCAAGUGUUAUCCNNAAUCACUGGGCGUAAAGCGUCUGUAGGUGGUUUAAUAAGUCAACUGUUAAAACUUAAAGCUUAACUUUGAAAUCGCAGUCGAAACUAUUAGACUAGAGUAUAGUAGGGGUAAAGGGAAUUUCCAGUGGAGCGGUGAAAUGCGUAGAUAUUGGAAAGAACACCGAUGGCGAAGGCACUUUACUGGGCUAUUACUAACACUCAGAGACGAAAGCUAGGGUAGCAAAUGGGAUUAGAUACCCCAGUAGUCCUAGCCGUAAACAAUGGAUACUAGAUGUUGAACAGAUUGACCUGUGCAGUA